UCAAAAGAGUUAAUUAAAAGGAUUAAUUUCAUAUAGACUCCUACAAAUAUAUUUUUACAAAGUUCAACUUUUAUAUAUUGUUUCUGCAAAAGUCCUGAUAUUUUUUCAAAUAUAUCUUUCUAGUUUGUUACCAUUAAAAAAAUAUUUAUAUUUUAUAUUUUGCCAUCACAAAUAUAUCUUUCCGAAAGGCAUAACAGUAUAUUAUAAAAGUAUAAAAAUAUCAAAAACUAACCGAGCUAAAUUUUUCUAACAGAUUCUUACAGCAGGAAUAUAUUUGAAAAUAUCAAGACUUUUGCAGGAACAACGUAUAAAAGUUGAACUUCGUAAAAAUAUAUUUGGUAUUCACUAUAUUUACAGAAGCUUGUAUGAAAUUAAUCCUAAUUAAAAACAAUGUGUUAAUU
RNAcentral lists this long non-coding RNA (401 nucleotides) under Ananas comosus (pineapple). Its description in RNAcentral is "long non-coding RNA (ACOM_LNC002991)". Lineage: Eukaryota; Viridiplantae; Streptophyta; Magnoliopsida; Poales; Bromeliaceae. The record is from RNAcentral.